AAGUGAUGACAGCUAAGCCUUUAUUUAAUGAAAGAAAAAAAACACAGCGAAAAUGGCAGUCAAUAUGUACAGGCAAUGUCUGUUUACAAUUAUGGGUGGCAAAUAGAUAAACCACAAGUGUUUACUGUGCACCUAAAUGCCCCAGUGCUGAAGGCUAUGUAGGGCAAAUUAAAAGGAGUGAAAAACACCUGACCUGAACAUUCAGCCAAAGAGCUUGCAGUCUAACCAAAGAGACAGGACUAAAAUGAUGAAAGACUACUGGAGAAGACUGAAUGGCAUAUUGUGAAAGGAAGGAGAGGGAUGAGCUGAUCACUAGGUAAAGUGAGAGGUUUAGCUGUACUGUUUCCCUGCUCCAGGGACAAGAUGUGUCCACACACAGGCUCUGUUUCUGAGAAAGCAAAAGCAUGUGGAAAGCUGGCCUGGUAGAGAAAUGGGGGAUAAGGGAGCAUGAGACUAGCUAAAAGGUACUACUGAGAAUUAUAAACAUCUCACCUUUCCCUUGUCCUUCUGCAGAGCCCCCAGCUAUCAAUACAUUACAGCAGGAUGAGAAAGACCCAGGCCUUUGACAUCCCAGGCUUUGACAGGCCCAGGCUUGACAGUGUCUUGGCACAAUGUUGUGGGAAGAAUAAGCACAAUGAAGAGGUGCCUCAGGAAGAGGACACACUCAGCCACCCACCUCAUGGGACUGCUAUGAGAAUGACUGAAAUAAUUAAUUGUGAAGAGCUUUGUGCCCCUGGGAGUAAGAACACUAUGACACAACUGGAGAAACUGGUUAUUUUACCAAGGCUUAGGCUGGAAUGGUGUGCUUUCCUUUAAAGAAUCAAACUUGACUUAUGGAGCCAAUAAAAGCCUCUUGGGAAAACUGGCCUCAUACAUGUCUACACAGUCCCUGUAUAGGGUUCCUGACCUGUGAUAUAUUAUAAAACAAGAAAUUUAGUUCCAAUGUAUCCAAGCUGUCCCUUCGGAAGGUGAUCAGAAGAGAGAAAUGAGUUUGGAAAAGAAAAGGAAUAGCUGAACAAGAGCAAGUGAUUUCAGAAAUCUAAACCCUGAGAAAACAUGGGUAACAGAGAAGAACUUCUGCUGUGAUAUCUACUUCUGCAGGGAGUAGAGAAACAGAAGUAGAAGGUAAAUCUGAGAUGAGCACAGAGAUAUCAAGUGAAUUGCCCAAGGUCACCAACUAGUAAGCAGUGAAGCCAGCAUUUGGUACUUUGGUAGCUCUGACUCGGCAGGCUGUUCUACCCCUCUUUGGGAAAAGCGUCGCAAAUGAGCACACAGCUUCAGGGUGAAUUCUUACAGCAAAGAAAAGGAAAUGGGAUAGCACAGCCCUGCUAUGUCAGAAGAACCAACAUCAGACAUCAGUGGAUUCUCAUAGCAACAUCUCCCCACUGCUUCCUCUUGACACACAGGAAAAAUGUUCCAGAAUCAACUGGGAAGACUGGCAUUUCAUUUAUAAAUGUAAUUCCCAGGCUGGGUCGGUAACUCCUCCAAUCUUUCCAAUUACGUUCAUUUCAGAUAUAGGGGACAGAAAUGCUCCAGAAAAGAACUAGACCAUAUUUGGAGGAGGAGAGAAGGAGUACACCCUUCAUCUGUGUUGUGAACUAUGUGGAGGAGAGUAGUAUGUUACAGUACAGAGAGUCUUGGGGAGGCCAUGUGCAUGUGUCUUCAGGCCUCCACCUCCUUUCAACUUGAGGAGCUCUGCUUUUCCUUCUAUUUUAGAGGGGUUACCCAAAAUCUCAUCUGAAAUCUGGGUUCCAUGGCUAAAGAAGUUUAAAAACUGAUAGUGCCAUGACAAAGCCCUGGAUCAGAAGUCACAAAACAAGAAUCCAAGAAUCUCUCUCUCAGUUUGGCCACAAACAAGUCAUGAUUAAUCCUGGGCCAACUACUUCCUUGGGAAACACCACCAUCUCUCAGUCAGCAAAGACAGAACCAGAGAGAGAGACUCUGCAAGUUCAGGAAGAAAGGUUCCAACUACUUUUACUCUCCGUUGCAUCUCCUAAUGUCACCACUUCCUCAGAGCAGGGUUUAGUCACUACUACAAAACAUUGCUCAGGAACUGCAGAGCCACUAGCCUGGCAUGUGGUGACACAUUCCCAACACAAUUCUCUAACAUUCUGAUUUCCCUUGCAAAGAUAAAUUCAAGCGAACUUAGAACUCUUAAAGAUCAGAUUGAGAUUGAAUGCCAUUGGCUUUCUCCCCAUACCUAUGCUCCUACACAUCUCUUCAGCCCAGCACAGGGUUUUAAAAGCUCACUGCUUAACACAGGGCUAUCUCCUCUGCUGGUUAUGAGCUGCAAGGAUAGAGUCCAUGUCCUGUUUGUGUUGGUGUUCCUGGCCACUAGCCAAGAACCUGCAGCCCAGCCCUAGAAUAGCAGUUGAAUGAAUGUGGCAGCCCACACACUCAAAGACACCAGAAUUAUCUUACCCUUUCCCAGAGAGCUUCAGGUACCUUUCUUUUCCUAAAUGAGUCACUAAUGUGUCUGUAUAAAUAUGGUUUCCAUAUAUGUCACAGAGCCCAAACAUUUCAUCUGACUUACUGUGGUUUACUUUUUGUGACUGCAUUUUUAUUAUAUCUUAUAUAAAAAGGGGGAUAUAACAGAAGGAAAAAACAGUAAAGCAAAAACCCAUAUCUAGCUUCAGAGCAUUACAUAUCCACUGGAAGCCCUAAAGCAAUGCUCCAUGAUCGCAUGGCCUUUCCGCUGCAUAACCCUGAGGUCAUUUUUUGAUACAUAAUUCUCAAAGUAUGCAGUGCUGAAAGACCUUGAAGAGCUUUCUUAAAUGAUGUUAUGGUUAAAAUUUCUAUGAUUGCAGUCCUUGAAAUCAUAAAAGAAUAAAUACAUCCUUGGAAAAGAUCUCACUUCUCUUCUUCUUCAUUCCUUCACAAUUCAGCCCCCACCUCUCAAGGAGCUGUCUAGAGCAUGGCGAGCAAGCUAAUGCUUUCCCAGAGUUUAUGACAGAUGCCAGUUUUAGUGUUCCCCAAAUGCUAACAUUAAUACACACAACUACUGUAUAGGGUAGUCACCAUUACCACCCCUAUCUGAGGUAUGAAGUUAGAAAUGUAACAAGUGACAGAGGUAGAAUUUGAACGCAUCUGAGUCCAGGCUCCUGGAACCAUGCUAUGUUGUGAUUUUCUGGGAUCUUGGGCUAUUUUUACAAUUAGAGAUGUGACCCAAGGGCAAUGGAUUUCCAUCCUGGUGAGUUCUUCUGGGGAGAGACUGCACUUCUCCCAGUCCUGUCCCCAACUCUUCCUCCUCACAGUUACCAUGUAGGAGCAUGAAAACUAUCCAUGUUUGCCCAGUAAGGUGGCAUUCUUCCAAACAUUAGCUGGCCCCACCUUAUAACACAUAAGCGAGAAGCUCUAGGUCACUUGACCUCAGGGCACAUGCAAAUGUUUAUCAGGCUGCCCAGUGACUUGUAGAGGCGGCAUUUCCUGGAAACAUCAUGGUUAGACAUUUCAUUCAGUGAGGUGUUCAGAACAUCUGAAUCACUCCUGUUGCCUAGCAACUUGUUUGUGUUUGGCAGGAUGAAGACAACUCAGGCACAGGUACAGUCGGAUAUAAGGCAGAAAUCUAUUCAGCACGACGUCCUCCCAACACUAGACUGCUGAUUUAGUGCUUAAACUUGACAGUGUUCUUUCCCACUUUCUCACUCUUGGUAGAGGCUCCUUCAGUCAUUCUCUUUAAGUCAGGAGCAUUCAAAAGGCACUAUGCUGUACACAGAAUAAACAGGUCCUUUGUAGCUGAAAUAUAGGCUACUAUUUUUCCUACAGAGUUUUGAAAAAAAACUUUUAAGACAAAGCUAAUUACAGGGUUCUUACAUAUAAAAGGGAAAAGAGUUAUACAGUAUCAUGGAAAUUACUUGUCAUCCUUAAAAGAAUUAGUUCUUUCACAUAUUCGCAUAUCUGUCCCUUUUCUUUGAUAACAAGAAUUGAUUAGCACAAUAUAAGUAGCUUCGGAAUCAAGGAGGUUCACCCUCCAAUACCGUCAUAAAUACAAAUAUAUAGCAAAGCUGGCCUAAAGUCACCUUACUAACCUUCAUCUUCAAAUUUAAGUUAGCAUGUGUGCCUGGGUUACUCUAGGAGCCAAAAAUCUAGAACAAAACACUGUGGGCUUGCAUUCCAUAUACAUUCUCCGACAGUUACGGCUUUUCCUCUAUUAUUUUAGGUCUCCGCUACUUUCCCAGUCAUUUCUAUGCGUUAAAUACUCAGAGAAAGAAAAGUGGUUUUAGAAAAGCCGCCCCCACCACCACCCCAAUACUGGGAUUUCUGUUGUUGUUUCUUUCGUUUUUGCUCUUCUUGUCAGAGGACAUGCCUGCUAUAGAAACAAGAAAAUAAGAUGUAAGGGUGUGCUUAAAUGUUACUCCUAAUCUUAGUGGGACAGUCCUGAGUUCUAGAUUUAUUAAAUGUUUAUGAACAGGAGGAUACAAAAGUUGUUUAGAAAAUUUUAUUUUUUCUUCCUUUCAUCCAAUAAUAUUCAUCCUUACCUUGGGGUUUCAGUAUCCUGAUAUUUGUAAGAACUAUUAAAAAUCAAAUAGAUAUGAAUUACUUCACUUUUUUAACAACUAUAAAAUGGGUAUAUGAGUUUACUUAGCAAAGAUUUUCAACUUAAACAUGUUAAUCCUUUAUCUCCUCCAAAAUAUUUUUCUUUUUGAAAGGCAUAUUUAAGGAAAAAAAUCUUUCCAUAUUAAAAAAUUCUUGAAUUCCACCAAAGUCCAUAACAGAUUUAAGAAAAGAGUACCCUCAUUAUCUAGAACUGGCUAACUGUAGGCUGCAAUUACUAGUGGCAAGAAAUAAGGGGGUUGAAUCACUCUCCAAACUAUUUCAAAGUCCUUAACCACAUCUCUCAAGCAAGUUUUCUAAUUUGGGGUUCGUAGUUGAUAGGUGGACCUCCUGAAGCCCUGUAAAAUGUUUUGGCUCAUGCAUAUAACCAGAAGUAGAAAGCUUAUUUCUUCAGAUUCUCAAAAUCGAAUUUAGGUCUUGGGAAAUCAAAUUGCCAGCAGAUAACUGAGGAUUUAACCUCAUGAAUUUGUUGCUGACUACCUGCUUAAUAUAAAUUGCAGUAACAUAAAAGAAGAAUGUUUGUUCCCAUGCUGAAACUGAAGAUUUCUAAUAAUUAAAUAGCAGUAGAGCCCCAUCUAUGACAGCAAGCCAGUUUACUGCAUUUGUAUACCCUGAGAGCUAAAUUACCACUAAUUGUCUCAUCUUUCGAAAAUGUAUUUAAACUUCAUUAGAUAUGUGAAUGUCUGUUAUGGCCAGGCGAAAGAGACCGACCUAGUCCCUGGCCUCACAAAGCUUGCAGUCUGGUUGGAGAAACAAACAAAUCAUUAUCACACAGGGAGAUAAAUGUUUAGAUAAUUGAAAGUUCAGGAUGCUAUAAGAACACAUUGCCAAGGCACGCAACCCAGUCUGACAUUUAAGCUAUGAGAAUUGGCAAAAUAUCCAGACGCUGAUGACAGCAGGUACUCUCACAAGUUUCUAGUAGAUAUGUAAUAAGAAAACCUUGGCCAGGUGCAGUGGCUCAUGCCUGUAAUCCCACCACUUUGGGAAGCCGAGGCAGGCGGAUUACCUGAGGUCAGGAGUUCGAAACCAGCCUGGCCAACAUGGCGAAACCCCAUCUCUACUAAAAAUACAAAAAUUAGCCAGGCGCAAUGGUGGGUGUCUGUAAUCCCAGCUAUUCAGGAGGCUGAGGCAGGAGAAUUGCUUGAACCCAGGAGGUGGAGAUUGCAGUGAGCCGCCGAGAUCGCACCAUUGCACUCCAGCCUGGGCAACAGAGAGAGGCUCCGUCUCAAAAAAAAAAAAAACACCUUCCUCUCAGAGAUGCAAUUUAAUGAUAUCUAUUAAAAUUACACAUACACCUUAUGACCUGCAAUUCUACUUUACAAGUUUAUAUAGAUAUAUUGUCUACAUGCAAAAUAACCUACAUACAGUUACUUACUGCAGUACUGUUUAAGAGCAAACAAUUGGCCACAACCCAAAUGUUGUCCAUCAAUAGAUCACUAUUUUAACUGUGGAACAUCCAUAAAUGGACUCUGUUAUUCUGUAACUGCUUUAAAAAAAGAAUGAGGAAAGUGUCUUAGUACUAGCUUAUUAAGUCCUCCUACAUAUAUUGUAAGGAAAAAAAACAUACAUUGCAGAGAAAUAUAGUACGCUAUCUUUUACAUUAUGAAGAGGGCAAAUAGGAAUAUUCCUAUUUGCUUAUUUAUGCAUAAAGAAAUUCUAGAAGGAUGCUUUAGACAUUGACAGAGGCUGAGAGGAUGGUGGAGGCAGAAUUUGGGCAGACUCUGUGAAUGCGAAAUGUAUGAAAAUGGUAUACUUAAAAAGUAAUCCUUACAUCAAGUGUGUGGGACAUUGCAAAGGAAAAAAAAAACAGUAAUCCUUUAUUUUUCAAGCCCAAGUUAUAUCAACCUAGCACCUUUUUUUGGUUUAUUAUUUUAACACACUUCUAAAAUUCUGCAGUGAUUAAAUUAGAACAUACGACUACUUUAUUUUCCAAAUCAGGGUUUCACUCUCUCCUUUCCUGCUUGUGUCCAUCUGCCAUCCUGAAGGGGGUUUCCCCAGAGUACCUGAGAGCGAGGCAAGUCCUCUGUGCCUCCCUGCUCUGGUUUGUUGGCUGAGGAUAUUCAAGAGCUUUUUUUAAAGCUCAUGAAAGGAUUUUGUUUUGUUCACUGCCUCAUUCGCAACACUGACAAGAAUGCCUGGCACAUAGAAAGCGUUCAGUAAGUAUUUGUUGAAUAAAUGAAUUCUUUUCUUCACUCAGCUUCAAUGAGACAGACACCACCAGACAAAGGGAAAGAUAUCAAAAUGGUGUCAAAUAUUUAGAAAUAGCUGCCAUUCUUAGUGCCAGCUCAAAGUAGGCAUUCUAACCUUAGCAACAUUCCUAGAAUUAUUGUGAAUUUCACAGAAGACAAAUAAUGUUAUAGAAUACUGUGCUGAAUAAUAUUAACUACCUACAAAUAUUUAUUUUAAAUGAUUUGGGAUUACAUGGUCCUGGUGUCUAUCUUAGGGUAGAAAUCUUUUUAGGCAAACACCACAAUAAACAGUAAUGAUAAAAAGUAAAAAAAAACAAAACAGCUAUCAUCAGGGUCAAAUGAACCCUAGUCUUAAGGUGCCCAGAGAUAUAGCAAGAAAAGGGAAACUCUUUUGCACUAAAAAAUGCAACUAUUUUUAUUUUCAAGAAUAAAAUUAUACUUGAAAUAAAAUUCCAAGUACUCUAGGCAGUGAAUUGAGUUGUACUGCUUCAACCACACAAGCAAAACCUCUUCUUCCUCAGUGGGCAUAGAAUGGGUAUAACUGCCACAGCUCUUUAAUUUUGGUUUAGAUAACUAUAAAAACAGAAUAACUUUGCUAGUAAUUUCCGUACUGUUGCUGAAAGGUGCAUGGCUGACUGAUAUCUCUUUGAAGAUUUUCUGUUUUCUUAAGGCAUGGUUGAGACAGUUAAUUGAGUGCUCUCUUUUGGCAGUAAUGCAAACAGGUUAGAAAGUUAUGGGGUUACCUCUAUUUCUCUGGCUGUCAUUUAAAACGGCAAUCCAAGACCGAGAAAACAUCCAUUCACCUGAAAGAACUUGAAAUUUAAGACUCUCCUGAGGAUGAAAUAAAAAUUCUCAGAGUUACGACAUUUAUGAAUGUCUUAACCAGAGAAGGGAAGAUAGCAGCAGCAAAGCUGCAGGACAACUGAUAGACAGCCAACCUUCAGCUGAUGUAAGUUAGACUCAUGCUAUAGCAGCAGGAAGCACCAAACCUACUGUUUCCAGAUGGUAGCACAGCAAUUCCCACCUUGGUCCUUGCAGCAGUCAACACUCCCAGUCUCUGGCAGGUCCUUUUGGAGAAGAGUGUUAUAGGGCCACAGGAUGCAGCUCUAGGGGAAGAAAAAGUCAGAGAUUAAAUAAGAAUGAGGCUUUGUUGCUAUGUUUUGCUAGUUUUCUGGGGGUGGAGGUGGAAUGAAGAGCCCUCUGAUGCUACCCUCCUAGAGCUCUCCAAUACUGGCCCUCUAGGAGAGUUGCCAGGAAAACACUGGCUAUAACAGGUACUGACACUUCAGGUCAAGAAAAGCAACUCAGCCAUUCACUCCACUAAUAUUUAACACCUGCCAGCCCCUAUUUAAAGUUGGAGCAGGGCAGGCAGGCAGAUUCCCUUGCCUCCUGAUGUUCGCGUUCUAACACAGGAACACACAGAUAAACAAGAAGACCAGUCAAUGUCACUCAAAAAAGUCAGUCAGAGUCAGGGCAAGGCUGAUGUGGUCGAUGUAGAGCAAGUGGUGUCAGGGAAGCCUUUCUAAGGGGAUAUUUAAGACUUAAUAAGGGUUGGGGAUGGGGGGGGUGGGGCAGCUACAAAAGAAGAGUAAGCCAGGCAGAGGGAACGGCUGGGCUGGCCCAAAGGCCCUGAGGCAAGAAUGAGCCAGGAAGGUUUAAAAAGAAUGGAAAGCACGGCGGGAGUAUUGUGAACUAGGCAUAGAGAAGGGAAGAGGAGUGCAGAGGGCUUUAUAGGACAGUAGAAGGACUAUGUACAUAAAGGGCAAACUAAGUGUCACAGAAACUUAGGUUGAUGUGCUGUGCAUAAUCUGUCACCUUCUACUAAAUGGUGGAAGAUUUCCUUUGAAAUACAUACAGUUGCUGCAGUCUUUCAAUGGAUUUUUUAGUUGAAAUUUGCCUUGUGGAUGGAAGCAAAAUAUAGGCUACUGGCCAGAGGUCUGCAGUUCAUAGAACCACAAUAUGAAUAUCCAAAGAAUACAACCUGAGACUACCCAAUAGUGCAUAUAUGUAUAUGAUUUGGUAGCAUAUAUAUAUAUAUAUAUAUAUCUUUUAACUACCUAACAAAUUUCAUUAAAAUCUGUUUAACAACUGCAGGAUGUACACUCAUGUGCAACCAGAAAUCGAUUUUUAGUUGAGAUCCCAUCUUAAUCAAAAAUACUCAACUCUUGGAAGAAACUCAAGAACAAAUGUGUCACUCUUAGGUAUAUACCCCCCAAAAAAAUGAAAACACCAGUCCAAGCAAAAACUGUACACAAAUAUUCAUAACAGCAUUAUUCAUAAUGGCCCCAAAGUGGAAAAAACCCAAAUGUCCAUCAACUAUUAAAUGGAUAAACAAAAUGUGGCAAACCCAUAUAAUAUUAUUGGGCAAUGGAAAGGAAUAAGGCAGUGAUACACACUGUAGCACGAAUGAAUCCUGACAACAUUAUUCUAAGUGAAAGAAGCCAGUCACAAAGACCACAUGUUAUAUGAUCCCAUUUAUAUGAAAUGUGCAGAAUAGGCAAAUCCAUAAAGACAGAAAGAUUUGUGGUUGCCAAGGGCUAGGGGAAGAAGAGAAUGGAAAGUGAAUGCUAAUGGGUAUAGGGUUUCUUUCUGGAGUGCUGUAAAUAUUCUAGAAUUAAAUAGUGGGGUUGGUGGCACAACUCUGAAUACACCAAAAACUACUGAUUUGUACACUUUAAAAAGGCCAGUUUUAUGGUAUGUGAAUUACAUCUCAGUGCAACUGUUGUAAAAUUAAAAGAACAAAAGAAUAUCUGAAAUGCUGUGAACAGAUGAAAUAAACUUCAACUGGCCCAAAAUGCUAUAUUCCAGUAAGCAUUACUAGACCCCAUUAAAAGGGACAAGCAGUUUAGUUUUACACUUCAGAUACUGUACACUACACUCCCCAUGGUACAUGUUUACCCCUCUGGAAAGAUCACCUUAUCCUUGGAGGAUGUUUUUCUCGUUUCACUUGGAACCCUUCUCCGGUUAUCACCCUCUCUCGACUCCACCUACCAUCCCCACUCACUCCACGCAAAUAAAAUUAAAGCAGAUAGUUGCUUUUGCACUCUAACUCAAGUCUGUGGACAAUUACAAUUGUUUAGAGCAUGGUAUUAAUGAUAUUUCUAAUAUGGUCAGCUUAUAGAUUUUAUUCAGUUACGUAGCCAAACCUAGCACUUUUCAUCUAGUCAAGCUGAAAAUGUGUGCCCUUGUCAAAAAGGAGAAUGGGCAAAAGGGUAGAUACUGGAAAUGCAAAACAAAUUCAAGCUUACUACUCCAAAAUCCCUUUCUGUAUAUAUCUUAACAUGGUGUUACAUUAAGACUACAUUCAUUUUAAAUAGUAUCUUAUAAGUUCAUGAUUUAUUUUAAAGUAUAUGUAGAAUGUAUAAUUUCACAAAGGAAUAAAGUAAAUUAUAUAACAACAGCAAAAUACUACUGUGAGAUGAUUAAUGUAGAAUCACAGAGGCAGGUAAAUAUAGAGAAGGUUUCUUGAUCACAAGGUGUAGUGGAAGAGGGAAUGCUAUCUCCUGGGACUGAAUAUUGUUCUACCUGCUCCCGGUAGCAAAUCACUGCAGAGACAGCAAAGCUUGAUGUUUAUGAACAAGGAUUCUGAAGGCCAACUCCACACUUAGCAUGACUCCACGAUUAAGUAUUAUGGCUCCAGGCAUGAUACUUAAUUUCCCUGAGCCUUAGUUCCCUCAUCUAUAAAUAGUACUAACUUAACAAGGUCCUUAAAAGAAUCAAAGGUUAUAUAAAAACAAAAAUAGAUCUAAAGGGAGAGACAGAUUGCAAAACAAUAAUAGUAGAGGACUUCAACACCCCACUUUUGGCAAUGGACAGAUCAUCCACGCAGAAAAUCAGUAAAAAACAUUGGAAUUAAACUAUACUCUAGACCAAAUGGACCUACUAACAGACAUUUACACAACAUUUCAUCCAACGGCUAUACAAUACACAUUCUUCUCAGCAGCACAUGGAACAUUCUCCAGAAUAGAUCAUAUCUUAGACCACAAAACAAGUCUCCACAAAUUCAAAAAAGUCACUAUUAUAUCCAAGUGUCUUUUCUGAAUCCAAUGGAAUAAAACGAAAAAUCAAUAACAAGAAGAGCUUUGGAAACUGUGCAAAUGUAUGGAAAUUAAGCAAAAUGCUCCUGAACAAUCAACAAAGAAAUUAAGAAGGAAAUUUAAACAUUUCUCAAAAUAAAUGAAAAUGGAAACACAACAUACCAGAACCUAUCAGAUACAGCAAAAGCAGUACCGAGGGAAUUUUAUAGCACCAUAUGCCUACAUCGAAAACAUAGAAAGACUCCAAAUAAAUAACCUAAUGGUGUACCUCAAGGAACUAGAAAAGAACAAAUCCAAAAUUAGUAGAAGGAAAUAAUAAACAUCAAAGCAGAAAUAAAUGGAGAAAAAAGAAAGAACCAAAGGAGUUAAUACUAAUAAAGACAUCAGAAACAGCACCUGGUAUAUAGUAAGCAUUAUAUGUAUUUGUUAAAUGAUUAAAAUAGAGCAUACUAGUUAAGUCUUGCAAAAUGACUAAAACUGUACUGCAUAUUUGGCUCUCAACUCCUUUGUAGAUAGAGGGGAAAAAAUUUUCCAAACUCAGAGAAAGAGAGAAAAUGCAUAUAUCUCCAUAUGUGUUUGGAGGAAGGCAAGUGGGAACCAUAUUUUGUUCCUCAGGAGGAAAAAGAAAGCAUUUGACACUUAACUUUAAUAUGGUCUGUACACAAGAGGCAAUGAGCAAUACUGCAGACCAGGGAAGACCGCCAUAUGACGUCACUUGAUAGUUUUUCACUGUUUCUCAAUAAAUCCCAAGGCAUAACUCUCUACAAUUUCUGUAGUAGGAAGACAAGGCAAUGUGAUACAAAUAUACAGCUCUGAUGAUCGGCUCACAACUGCACCAGAAAUCUCCAAUCCAUCUUUUACUUCCAUUUCCCUCUGCCAUGCUUCUGAUAACCAGAGCUGAGGAGGAGACAGUUCCAGAUCUCUGAAACAAAUUCUCCAACAUUAGGAGAUGGCCAAAAUAUAGCCACAUAAAAACACUAAGUAACCUGAUGCAUUGAAAAGCAACUCCCCCUAGAAGCAUCUGUUUUUAAGUUUAAUGGACUUCAGAGCCAUUGUCUGGCUAAAGAACAGCCAUAAUCAUCUCAGGGGAUUAAACAACUUGGAAGAAUAUUCCUAUUAGUCAUAGUCAUCUCAGGCUCCACCUAACAGUUAAACACAGAACUUUUAUGAAUUACAAAAGCUAUUAUGCUUAAGCCAUGUUUUAUUGUAAAUUGGACAGUAGAUAACUUUUCUUUAAAAGACUAGUUAUACGGUGCAAACCUUAGCUAGAAAACGACCCGUCUUCCUUCAGAUAGUCCCAUAUUGUACAUGGAAGACACGAUAAAGUUGAAUUUCCACAGCUAUUACACAGUCCUGUGACUAAGCUGAUGUCCCAGUGAUUUAUCAGCCGUUUUCAUUCCAUCUGGCAAAGCAUGUUGUUCUUAAGGCUAAUUAUUUAACAAUGUUUUCUUCAGAUAAAAUGGUAAUAAUCUUAUUAAUCAACUAUAGCAAUGUAUUUUCAUUUGCAUACCUAUGGAGUAUUGCUAAAGAGAAUAGAAAAUAGAUUAAUUCCCUUGCGGUUCACGUACACUAAAUGUAGCAUUCUGCAAGGAAGGAGAGCAAGAGAUGGCAUUUAUAACUAACUCCUGUGCAUUCUUGGAGAAGCUUUUUUUGACCAUUCCAGACCGCAUUUGGUUUCCUUUCCCUUGCUCCACGUUACUUUCUACUUUUUCUCUGACUUAACAGUUUGCUAACUGUAACUUUGGUCAGUUAUUUGUAGAGAUUUACUUGUCUCUUUCCAGUGAGACUGCAAGCUCUGUGAGGGAAGGGAUCACAUGUGUCAGAUUCUCUGCUGUCUUUCUGGCACAGAAUUGAGGGUUAUAAAUAUUUGUUCACUGACUAACUCCCAUUUUAUAAGAUAAGCUGUGUUCCUAAAGAAUCACAUGUCAGUUCCUCUCAAGAUAAGGAAGUCACUGAAGUAAUCUUAUAAGGGGAGGGAGUAAGCCCCACUAAUAUCAUUUAAUAUUAUGAAACAGUGACCCACAAGUUUGAACUUACAGAAGCAGAGUCCAUGGAUAUGGCUAUGGCAGAUGUGACUGAGGGGGAGGGAGAAAAGGAGUGGGGAGGAAUGACCCACUAAUUUAGAUGGGUACUUUCAGAGUGAAAGUUUAUUAUAAGAGCUCAAAUAGUGUUUUCUAAUUAUAGACUGUUAAAUUUAAAAUAUAUUGAAAGGCAACUCUGUACUUCUCUCUGCCCAAUGCAGACUGAAUUAAAAUAUCCAAGAAACAGGACUUUUUUUUUAAGCCCAGAAAGCCUGACACACCUAUUAAAAAGUUCUGUCUCAUAAGCUCUGCUUUCUACAGUUUCUGUUAGGUCUUCCAUGGCCCAGACAAUUGGCAAUCUUGUUCUUUCUUUCAUGACACAAAGUUGUUAUAUCCAAAUGAUUAACCUCCUAAGGUUAAAGUCAUGAGCGAUGACAAGAAGGUCAUAUAAUAUCAUAACAGUAAAAAUUAAAUAAUUUUAAACAAAUGCCUUCAAACCUUCACAAUAAAAGAAAAUAAACUCUUAUACUUUAACAUUUAAAGUGAGAAAGUGUUUAACCUUACCAGUGAGAAAAGAAACUCAAAGAAGUGAGAUACCAUUUUUCUACAUAUUAAAUUGACUCUUUAAAAUACCAACAUAAAAUUAUUACACUGCUUUCCAGGGCUAUUGUAAAAUAUAUUUCAUAUAUUCUAUAAACCUCCUAAGAACAUCAACAAAGAUUAGUUCUGAGCCUAUUAACCAAGACAUUGCCAGUAACAGUAAAAAAAAAAAAUGAGAAACAAGUGUCCAAUAAUAAGAGACAUGUUAAAAACAACAUGGUGGGUAGGUACAAUGGAAUAAUGAAAUGCUCCUAUCACAGUUAGUGGGGAAUGAUAAGAGGUGCAUUAUAUAUUCAUGGGUAUAAAACAAUGAUAUGUGUAUGAUCCUAUUUCUCCUGUUUCUACAAGUUGCAUGUGUAAAUAUAAAUGUGACUAGAAAGAUAAUGCAAAAUGCUAACAUAUAAUAGAUUUAUAGAUGACUUAAAUUUUUCUUUUGCUUAUCCAGGCAUAACAUUUCCUAAAAUAAACAUGAGUUGCUAUUAUAAUUAGAAAGUUAAAGAGAAAAGAUGACACAAAAACUCCCAAAACACAUUUCCAAAUAGCUACCAUAGUCACAUUCUUUUUUAAAAAAUUAUUAUGACUUGGGAGGCUGAGGCAGGCGGAUCACGGGGUCAGGAAAUCCAGACCAUCCUGGCUAACACGGUGAAACCCCGUCUCUACUAAAAGUACAAAAAAAAAAAUUAGCUGGGUGUAAGUGAUGGCAGGCACCUGUAGUCCCAGCUACUCGGGAGGCUGAGGCAGGAGAAUGCAGUGAACUCAGGAGGCGGACCUUGCAGCGAGCCGAGAUCGCGCCACUGCAAUCCAGCCUGGGUGAAAAAGUGAGACUCUGUCUCAAAAAAAAAAAAAAAUUAUUAUGACAAGCACAUUGUUUCAUAUCAUUAUGCUCCGAGGAUAAAAACGGUACACCUCAUUUUUCAUUUUGAUCAGUCUGUGUGUGGGGCAAGCAAAUAAAGGCAUUCAGUCUGGAAUCUUAAAAGUUUUCCUUUUAGCAAGAUGCCAUUUGUGGUGAUGUACCACCAAGUAGCAAAGAGGUCAGCCUCUCCAGUUAAAUAUAGCCUAAUUAUAUAGUUGAUAAAAAUAAAGGAAAAUGUACAUAUUUACUAUGAUUACUACUCAUGCUCAAAUAAAAUCCUGUCUUUGAAAUAGAAAUGAAACCCAAAGUAAAAAUAAAACAAGAAACUUAAUUCAAAAAUGUGAAUUAAGAUAGAAGCAAAUUUGGGAGGGGGUUAUUAUAGAGAAGCUGCCCUUCUUGCUUAGGGAGAGAGGAUAUUUGCUGGGAUGCAGAAAAACUCAUCAGGAUAUACAGAAGUGUUAUUGUCAAAACUGUAAGGAUCCUGUAGAAUAUACACCUGAGUAGGUUAACAGACUGAGCAGAAUGGCUAUACCUGAGUAAUUUAGUCAGAGCUAAGUGUAUGUUAACUAUCCAGGUUAGGCAGUGCCCUUCAGCUUUCUAGCCAUCCAAAUCUCUCGUUGACUGGAUGGUAAUUACUUGGACUACCUGGUUGGCAAUCCAUGUCCUCUAGUUUUUAUUUUCCUCUCUCCUAAUCUGUUGUUGUCCUUGUUCUUAAGAUUUCUAAGAGGUUGCUUACUCUAGCCUCCUCUGUAGUUAUCAGCGGUUUGCUUCUCUUGUGAGAAACUUGUUUGAAAGAUGAAUGAUUUGUACUUGUCAUAACUCUUACAAAGACUUCCACCAGGUGUACCAUGAGCAUGGCAUGCACCGUAGACUUCCACACCCUGCAGGCUUCCAAUAUUCCUUCCAAGCAAUCAGAAAGCAAGUUGCAUAUUAGCAUAUUUACAUAAACCCCUAUUUCACAAAGCAAAGUUUUUUCAAGUCUUCUUUUAAGUUUUAGAGGCAGGAUGACAUGCAGAGAGAACAAAACGGGAGUUAAGAAAUUAAAUAUUCAGGAUGCUAAGGAGUUAUUUGGUGGUGUCCAUAUGAAAGAGAGUAUUAAAGUACCAGGAAUCACUGGAGCAAGAGAAGAAGAAAGUGAAAUGAGGGGUACACUCGUAGAAGGUUUUGCAACUGAAUCUUGAGCAACAUAAAGGAAAAUAAAGCAAAGCCCCCAGAAGUUGGGAAGAUGAAUGCAUUUGGAUGAGUAUCAAGGUGGAAAUCAGAGGACCUGCCAGUGGAACCUCAGAAACCACCCAAGCUCUAAUGGGCUGUCACAAAACGGGAUGGUGAUGCUGACCACGUAAAUAGGUCAGCCACAUGCUUUUACCUCAGACUUCUAAGUCAUGCAAGGUCAGAGGCUACACCUCAGGUACUAUAGGAAGGGAAAGUGAAAGGAGUAAAUGUUACUAAUGUCAUUUUCAGUGAUCACACCUCUCUUCUUGGGCUAGGUACCCUGGAUGCCCCUUGAUCUCAGAAUAUGGCACCUUCAAGAGAAGGAUGGGGUUUACCACACAGAAAGAGAACCUCUGAGGUUUUCCCUUACCUCCAUAAAGAGUCUAAAGCUUGCUAUAGGAAAAAGUAAAGAAUAAUUCUUAUCUUUCCAAAAAGGCUUAGAGAUAGUAAACAAUACCAGUUUUCCAUCACAUUUCUAAACAAACAAAAAAGUAUAAGGGAAAUGUAACCACAUUGUCUUAGACCAUUCUUGCACUGCUAUAAAGAAAUACCUGAGACUGGGUAAUUUAUAAAGAAAAGAGGUUUAAUUGAAGUUCUGCAGGCUUUAUAGGAAGCAUGAUGCUGGCAUCUGCUUGCUUCUCAGGAAGCCUCAGGAAACUUAUAAUCAUGGUGGAAGGUAAAGGAAGAGCAAGCACAUCACAUGGCCAGAGCAGGAUCAAGAGACAGUGGGAGGAGAGAUGCCAUACACUUUUAAAUGACCAGAUCUUCUGAGAACUCACUAUUGUGAGAACAGUACCAAGAAGAUGAUACUAAAUCAUUCAUGAGAAAUCAACCACCAUGAUCUAAUCACCUCCCUGCAGGCCCCACAUCCAAUACUGGGGAUUAUAAUUCAACAUGAUAUUUGGGUGGGGACACACAUCCAAACUAUAUCACACGUGUAUUCUUUCCAGUGGGGAUACACACACUCAUUUUUCACUUUGUUUUUCAUUUCAAAUUUAGUACUUUGGCUAAAUUGUAAUAAUGUAAUAAUAAUGGAAUAAUGUAGUUUGUGAGCUACCCUCUAAUUGAGAGCAGAGGGAAAUAUGAUGAAAACAAGCCAAGGGCUUUCUGGGGAAAAGACCAUGGGCAAAAACUAUUUAUUACAAUUAGGAGAUCUGGUUUUAAUCUGGACUCUGAUAUUGUGAUCUUUAAAAAGUCAAUUGUGAUCUUUAAAAAGUCACUUUAAUUCUGUGGACCACAGUGAACUCAACCACAAUUUGCAGUUCAUCUGUACCCUCAGGACCCAGACAUCUCCUAGUACAUAGUAAGUAUUAUCAAGUAUUUGUUGAAGGAGAAAAAUAAAGACACUGAUUUAAUAGUCUCUCAAAUUUGUUCUGACUUUCUAUUGCCGGACUGUCCAAUACAACAGCUACAAGGUACAUGGGGCUACUUAAAUUUUAAUUUAAAUUCAUUAAAAUUUAAAAUUCAGUUCCUCAGUCACACUAGCUACAUUUCAAGUAUUCAAUAGGCACAUGUGAUGACUUGUGGCUACUGUACUGGACAGUGUAAAAUUAUGGAACAUUUCAGCAUUGCAGUCAGUUUUGCUGGACAGGAGUGCUCUCAGACAUAACUAAGGAGAAAGGCAACGCAUUGUACCCUCCUGUAGACACAGCUCUCUAUUCUAUGAAACUUCAUGAAAGGUUUACAGAGGGAACACGAGGAACUCAAGCAGAAAUUAAGCAUUCCCUUAGAGAACCAGUCUGUUUCUCUGCAUGUUGAAAGUACUGCUUCUCAGGAUAGUCUUCUCAACGAAUUGUGCUGAACAACCCGACUUCCAUAUGUAAAAAAAAAUGAAUCUAGAUACUAAUUUAUAAGAUAACAUAGAAGAAAAUCUAAGUGACCUUAGGUUUGGCAAUAGGUUGUUAGAUGUAACACCAAAAGCAUGAAAGAAAGAAAAAAUUGGUAAGUUGGACUCCAUUAAAAUUAAAAACUUCUACUCUAAGAAACACUGUUAAGAAAAAGACAAGUCAUUGACUAGGAGAAAGUAUUUGCAAAACACACAUCUGAUAAAAAACAUAUUCUAAAUAUAAAUAGAGCUCCUAAAACUCAACAAGAAAAAUAACCUAAUUAAAAGGUGGGCAAAAUAUCUGAACAGAUGCCUCAUCAAACAAGACAUAUAGAUGACAAAAAAUUAUAUGAAAAGAUGCUCAAUAUCAUAUGCAAUUAGGGAUUUGCAAUUUAAAACAACAAUGAGCUACAACCAUAUACAACAGCUAAAAUCCAUACUAACACCACCAAAUGCUGGUGAGGAUGUGGAGCAACAGGAACUCUCAUUCAUUGCUGGUGGGAAUGCAAAAUAAUCCACCCACACUGGUGGACAGUAAGGCAGUUUCUUAUAAAACUAAACAGAGUCUUAGCAUGUGACAAGGCAAUAGUUCUCCUUGGUAUUUACUCAAAUGAAUUGAAAACUUCUGUCCCCACAAAAGCUGCACACAAAUGUUUAAGCAACUUUAUUCAUAAUUGCCUAAAACUGGAGACAACCUAGAGGUCCUUCAAUAGGUGAAUGAGUAAACAAACUACGGUACAUCACAUAAUGCAGUAUUAUUAUUCAGGCUAAAAAGAAAUGAGCUAUUUCAAACUACAAAGACAUGAAGAAACAUUAAAUGCAAACUGCUAAAUGAAAGAAGCCAAUCUGAAAAGGCUAUAUACUGUAUGAUUCCAACUACAUGAAAUUCUAGAAAAUGUAAAACUAUGGAGACAGUAAAGAGAUGAGUGGUUGCCAGAGGUUGAGGAUUGGGGAGGAGUGAAUACGCAGAACACAGACUUUUAGGGCAGUGAAACUAUUCUGUAUAGUACUACAAUGAGAGCUACAUGUCAUUACACAUUUUUCAAAACCCACAGAAUGUACAAUAUAAAAAGUGAACUCUAAACUAUGGACUUUGGUUAAUAAUAUAUCAUAUUGGCUCCUUAACUGUACAAAGUGUACUACACUAAUGUGGGAAACUGAGGGGUAGGGGUAUAGCUUAUGGGAACUCAGUACUUUCUGUUCAUUGUUUCUGUAAAUCUGAAACUGCUUUUUAAAAAACGCCUAUUAAUUUACCAAAAAAGUAUUUCUCAGAAUUAGCUAUAAACUCUUAGUAUUAUCUAAGACAACAAUAAUCUGUUUUCACAAAGUAAAACAAGAAAUACUCCAAUUACGUGGUUUAAGAUGCAACGCAACACCCAAACAUUAGUCAAAAACAGCUUUCCUUUAAAGUUCAUAUGGAACCAAAAAACAGCCCGCAUCGCCAAGUC
Molecule: long non-coding RNA, 18739 nt
Filed under: Homo sapiens (human)
Lineage: Eukaryota; Metazoa; Chordata; Mammalia; Primates; Hominidae
Description: HSALNT0075940
Source: RNAcentral